GGUGUGCAAGAGGACACUUGUGCAAGGACGUUUGGGGGUGUGCAAGGCGAGUCACUUUUUCAAGGGGUGUGUAAAGGCAGAGGUGUGCAAGAAGACACUUGUGCAAGGACGUUUGGGGGUGUGCAAGGCAAGUCACUUUUACAAGGGGUGUGUAAAGGCAGAGGUGUGCAAGGUGGCUUGUGCGUGUGCAAGGCCGAGUGUGCAAGGGGUUUUGCACGAGGAGGGGCUCACGGUUUGGCGCUGAGAGGUAUCGGUGGCGUGGGAGGGUCUGAUUUUGGGGCAGUUUCGGGGUGGUUUGGUGCAAAGGCUUUGGGGGUGUGCAAGAGGACACUUGUGCAAGGACGUUUGGGGGUGUGCAAGGCGAGUCACUUUUUCAAGGGGUGUGUAAAGGCAGAGGUGUGCAAGAAGACACUUGUGCAAGGACGUUUGGGGGUGUG
This 437-nucleotide long non-coding RNA is filed under the name Anas platyrhynchos platyrhynchos (common mallard). Its description in RNAcentral is "lncRNA (ENSAPLG00000029949.1)". The record is from RNAcentral. Lineage: Eukaryota; Metazoa; Chordata; Aves; Anseriformes; Anatidae.